Molecule: long non-coding RNA, 838 nt
Filed under: Gadus morhua (Atlantic cod)
Lineage: Eukaryota; Metazoa; Chordata; Actinopteri; Gadiformes; Gadidae
Description: lncRNA (ENSGMOG00000032679.1)
Source: RNAcentral
AGUUAAUGUUAACUGAGGAUGAAAUAAAUUAAACUGAACCAUUGGCAAUCAUGUCAUUAUAAUCAUAAUCAACUUCUUUCUCAGGAGUGUGUGAAGGAGCUGAAUCUGAGGAACAUGGUGUCCAUCUCCAUGGAUGGACCCAAUGUAAAUUGGAAAUUCUUUGAGCUUCUACAGCAAGAGCACGCUGAGCAGUAUGGUGGUGUCCAGCUGGUGAAUGUGGGUAGCUGUGGCCUCCACACCCUACAUAACGCAUUCAAAUGUGGAUUCUCUAUGUGGCAACUGGAGAAGGUGUUGAGGGGGAUGCACUACCUUUUUCAUAACACACCAGCAAGGAGGGAUGACUUCAUUGCCCUCACCAAAUCCUCAGUCUUCCCGCUACCAUUCUGUGGGCAUCGGUGGAUUGAAAACCUGCCAGUUGUAGAAAGGGCCAUAGAGGUAAUAGUAAUUAAACGUUAUUUAUAUUAUAGCACUUGUCAAAACAAAAUGACAAGGUGCUGCAAAAUACGAUAAAAUAGACGUGCAUGAUGAAAUAAUAAACACAUACAUGAUGAAAUAUUAAAGGUAUGGCCUUCACUGGUGACAUACGUGGAUGCAGUGCGGACAAAGAAGGUUCCAAACCCUGGAACAGCCUCAUUUGACACCAUAGAAGCAGCCAAGCAAGAUCCACUCAUCUUGCCUAAGCUACUAAUUCUUCAUGGCCAUCUCAAGGACGUUCACUCCCUUUCUGACGAAGUAUCAGACUGACGCACCAGUCAUGCCAUUCCUUUGCAAGGACUUGGUGGAGUUGUUCCAGGUAAUCAAAUUAAUAAUGAAGAAUCAAGAAGAAAAGAAAAACAAG